GAUGAACGCUGGCGGCGUGCCUAAUACAUGCAAGUCGAGCGAACAGAUGAGGAGCUUGCUCCUCUGACGUUAGCGGCGGACGGGUGAGUAACACGUGGAUAACCUACCUAUAAGACUGGGAUAACUUCGGGAAACCGGAGCUAAUACCGGAUAAUAUAUUGAACCGCAUGGUUCAAUAGUGAAAGACGGUUUUGCUGUCACUUAUAGAUGGAUCCGCGCCGCAUUAGCUAGUUGGUAAGGUAACGGCUUACCAAGGCAACGAUGCGUAGCCGACCUGAGAGGGUGAUCGGCCACACUGGAACUGAGACACGGUCCAGACUCCUACGGGAGGCAGCAGUAGGGAAUCUUCCGCAAUGGGCGAAAGCCUGACGGAGCAACGCCGCGUGAGUGAUGAAGGUCUUCGGAUCGUAAAACUCUGUUAUUAGGGAAGAACAAAUGUGUAAGUAACUAUGCACGUCUUGACGGUACCUAAUCAGAAAGACACGGAUAACUACGUG
RNAcentral lists this ribosomal RNA (497 nucleotides) under uncultured bacterium. RNAcentral's name for it is "partial 16S ribosomal RNA". It matches the Rfam family "Bacterial small subunit ribosomal RNA", at positions 28 to 507 of the family's 1533-position model. The record is from RNAcentral.